RNAcentral lists this ribosomal RNA (497 nucleotides) under uncultured bacterium. RNAcentral describes it as "partial 16S ribosomal RNA". It matches the Rfam family "Bacterial small subunit ribosomal RNA", at positions 28 to 507 of the family's 1533-position model. The record is from RNAcentral.
GAUGAACGCCGGCGGCGUGCCUAAUACAUGCAAGUCGAGCGAACGGACGAGAAGCUUGCUUUUCUGAUGUUAGCGGCGGACGGGUGAGUAACACGUGGAUAACCUACCUAUAAGACUGGGAUAACUUCGGGAAACCGGAGCUAAUACCGGACAAUAUUUUGAACCGCAUGGUUCAAAAGUGAAAGACGGUCUUGCUGUCACUUAUAGAUGGAUCCGCGCUGCAUUAGCUAGUUGGUAAGGUAACGGCUUACCAAGGCAACGAUGCAUAGCCGACCUGAGAGGGUGAUCGGCCACACUGGAACUGAGACACGGUCCAGACUCCUACGGGAGGCAGCAGUAGGGAAUCUUCCGCAAUGGGCGAAAGCCUGACGGAGCAACGCCGCGUGAGUGAUGAAGGUCUUCGGAUCGUAAAACUCUGUUAUUAGGGAAGAACAUAUGUGUAAGUAACUGUGCACAUCUUGACGGUACCUAAUCAGAAAGCCACGGCUAACUACGUG